RNAcentral lists this ribosomal RNA (440 nucleotides) under uncultured bacterium. Its description in RNAcentral is "partial 16S ribosomal RNA". It matches the Rfam family "Bacterial small subunit ribosomal RNA", at positions 338 to 795 of the family's 1533-position model. The record is from RNAcentral.
CCUACGGGUCGCAGCAGUAGGGAAUAUUGCUCAAUGGGGGAAACCCUGAAGCAGCAACGCCGCGUGGAGGAUGAAGGUUUUCGGAUUGUAAACUCCUUUUGUUAGAGAAGAUAAUGACGGUAUCUAACGAAUAAGAACAGGAUAACUCCGGGCCAGCAGCCGCGAUAAGACGGAGGGUGCAAGCGUUACGCGGAAUCACUGGGCGUAAAGGGCGCGUAGGCGGGAUAGCAAGUCAGAUGUGAAAUCCUAUGGCUUAACCAUAGAACUGCAUUUGAAACUGUUAUUCUAGAGUAUGGGAGAGGUAGGUGGAAUUCUUGGUGUAGGGGUAAAAUCCGUAGAGAUCAAGAGGAAUACUCAUUGCGAAGGCGACCUGCUAGAACAUAACUGACGCUGAUGCGCGAAAGCGUGGGGAGCAAACAGGAUUAGAUACCCUAGUAGUC